Molecule: microRNA precursor, 112 nt
Filed under: Capsicum annuum
Lineage: Eukaryota; Viridiplantae; Streptophyta; Magnoliopsida; Solanales; Solanaceae
Description: MIR398 microRNA precursor family
Rfam family: MIR398 microRNA precursor family
Source: Rfam by way of RNAcentral
GUGCACCCUAGAGGAGUGUACAUGAGAACACUGGUGCAUUUUGAUCUUUUUCAAUUUCAAUUUCUAGACCCAAAAUGUACUUGUGUUCUCAGGUCACCCCUUUGGGAUCACC